UUGGGCUGGCACCUUCCUUACUAAGAAUGAAAGUAACAUAUGAGUAUACAUAGAUCAACAGAAUCUGCCCAGUGGUUGACAAAAGGUCCAUGUGGGCAGGAAGGCCAGAGAGGACAGUCAGAUAGAUAGGUUAUAAAAAAAGCUCAUGUAAAUCCAGACACUUCCUCCACCCAAUGUGCCAACCAUUCUGAGACCUCAGGAGCUGGCAAAGAACAACAAGCGGGGUGAAAAAUCGACCACUGACAGGGGUCUGGAACCAAAUCCACAUUAUCUUCAAUAUGUGCCUACCUGUAGAGUAUUGUUUCUACUUUGGAACGGUAUAAUGGAGAGAAGAUUGGUGAUAUGGGGUCAAGAAGACCUCAAUAACUUACUAGCUGUGUAACCCUGGGUUCAAAUCACAGCUCAGUUACUCACCUCCAGGACACUUUGGCCAAAAUACUAAUCUCUCGAGAUCUCAGUUUCUUCAUCUUUAGAAUGAAGGGAUUGGACUGGAUAAUAUUAAAGCUCUAAGACUAUGA
This is a long non-coding RNA of Antechinus flavipes (yellow-footed antechinus), 518 nucleotides long. RefSeq lists it as uncharacterized. NCBI's taxonomy places the organism in Eukaryota, Metazoa, Chordata, Mammalia, Dasyuromorphia, Dasyuridae. The transcript is spliced from 2 exons. The record is from RefSeq and is a predicted model, not a curated record.